This 253-nucleotide ribosomal RNA is filed under the name uncultured bacterium. RNAcentral describes it as "partial 16S ribosomal RNA". It matches the Rfam family "Bacterial small subunit ribosomal RNA", at positions 524 to 776 of the family's 1533-position model. The record is from RNAcentral.
UACGUAGGGCGCAAGCGUUAUCCGGAAUUAUUGGGCGUAAAGAGCUCGUAGGCGGCUUGUCACGUCGGAUGUGAAAGCCCGGGGCUUAACCCCGGGUCUGCAUUCGAUACGGGCAGGCUAGAGUUCGGUAGGGGAGAUCGGAAUUCCUGGUGUAGCGGUGAAAUGCGCAGAUAUCAGGAGGAACACCGGUGGCGAAGGCGGCGACCUGGGUAGAUACUGACGCUGAGGUGCGAAAGCGUGGGGAGCAAACAGG